RNAcentral lists this RNase P RNA (427 nucleotides) under Novosphingobium sp. RNAcentral's name for it is "RNase P RNA component class A". It matches the Rfam family "Bacterial RNase P class A". From Rfam's summary of the family: Ribonuclease P (RNase P) is a ubiquitous endoribonuclease, found in archaea, bacteria and eukarya as well as chloroplasts and mitochondria. Its best characterised activity is the generation of mature 5'-ends of tRNAs by cleaving the 5'-leader elements of precursor-tRNAs. Lineage: Bacteria; Pseudomonadati; Pseudomonadota; Alphaproteobacteria; Sphingomonadales; Sphingomonadaceae. The record is from RNAcentral.
CCAGGGGGCCGGGCAGCCGCGUCCUACGUCAAGCUCAGGAUGAGCCGGGCGGAGGCCGAGGAAAGUCCGGGCUCCACGAGACGAGGGUGGCGGGUAACGCCCGCCGGGCGUGGGCCUCGGCCCGCGUUCAGGGAAAGUGCCACAGAAAGCAGACCGCUAAGCGGGGCAACCCGCCAGCAAGGGUGAAAGGGUGCGGCAAGAGCGCACCGCGCUCCUGGCAACAGGGGCGGCACGGCAAACCCCACCCGGAGCAAGACCGAAUAGGGGCGGCGCGCCGGGGCUUCGGCUCCGGCAGGCGGGUUUCGCGCCGAGUCGUCCGGGUUGGUCGCUGGAGCGCCGCAGCAAUGCGGCGCCGAGAGGAAUGGCUGCCGAACCGCGCGGGCGACCGCGCGGGGAACAGAACCCGGCUUACAGGCUCCCUGGCAUU